This 92-nucleotide microRNA precursor is filed under the name Eucalyptus grandis. Its description in RNAcentral is "mir-160 microRNA precursor family". It matches the Rfam family "mir-160 microRNA precursor family". Rfam says of the family: The hairpin precursors (represented here) are predicted based on base pairing and cross-species conservation -- their extents are not known. In this case the mature sequence is excised from the 5' arm of the hairpin. The record is from Rfam by way of RNAcentral. Lineage: Eukaryota; Viridiplantae; Streptophyta; Magnoliopsida; Myrtales; Myrtaceae.
CUAUGCCUGGCUCCCUGUAUGCCACAAACAUAUUCCAACCUUUCAUCUUAGGUUGGCCAUUACGUUGGUGGCGUACCAGGAGCCAAGCCUAC